RNAcentral lists this ribosomal RNA (253 nucleotides) under uncultured bacterium. RNAcentral's name for it is "partial 16S ribosomal RNA". It matches the Rfam family "Bacterial small subunit ribosomal RNA", at positions 524 to 776 of the family's 1533-position model. The record is from RNAcentral.
UACGGAGGGGGCUAGCGUUGUUCGGAAUUACUGGGCGUAAAGCGUACGUAGGCGGCUUUGUAAGUUAGAGGUGAAAGCCUGGGGCUCAACUCCAGAAUUGCCUUUAAGACUGCAUCACUUGAACACGGGAGAGGUGAGUGGAAUUCCGAGUGUAGAGGUGAAAUUCGUAGAUAUUCGGAAGAACACCAGUGGCGAAGGCGGCUCACUGGACCGUUGUUGACGCUGAGGUGCGAAAGCGUGGGGAGCAAACAGG